GCUACAGUUUCAUUUUGGUGAAACACUGCAAAUUCUCUUGCAUUCCCAUAAUGUGGUUCAUAUGCCAGUGUCUAAGGAAAGAGAUCACCCUUCCAGCACAUACUACCAUUCAGCUUCCCUGGAUUGUGGCACAGGACAGGACAAAGAGAACUUCCUGUUUAGGGGUUUCUGAGAUUCAACUGUGGAAAGAAUAGCCAUGACUUGAAGAUGUCAGUGCUAAAAGCCCAAACGAAAUUUGGAAACCUGGAGAAUCUUAGCAAUGGAAGAUGAUGGGCAGAAAAAUUAAUGAAGUAUUUUAAAAAAAUCUAAAACGUUGAAAACAAGAGUCUGAUUCAUCAAUCUAACCACUGAUACCCUAGAGCCGUUCAAGACAGCGAAAGUUCACUUGCUCAUCCCAAACUGCAGUAGAUGUCUGUGCCUGGGUGGCUGAAUGAAAUCCCAGGUCCAUUCUCUUGGCUCUCUGACCAGUAGAAAAGCACAUUUCUCUACACAGCAGCAAGAUUCAAAUGGGACAUUUGCAUGAGAACAGUGCAUUUCCAUUUGUUGCACUUCAAGAAAUUCCAAUGUCUAAAGCCUACUCAGGACCCUUUAAAGGUCAUAAAUGAAGAUGCUAAGCAGUACUGUCCUCAGCAUGAACCUCAAGAGUCAGCUGCUAGUGGCUAGCCCCCAUUUCAUUUCAUUACUCGUGUUGUUUUAUGAAGUCUACCCACCUGAAAGUUACCUGUUUUAUCAGAAUAAAGGAAUUGUCUGCCACUUGCUGCAAGUAGUGAAAUAAAAUUAUCCCAUGUGCUUUUAAAACAUCUUCAGUAUAACACAUGCACUGCUUCAAGUUUGUAGGAAUCAAGAAUCUAUCCUGCAUAACUUCAGUCUUGUUGGAGUUUCCUCCUUGGUGGGGGUAAUUUUCUUCUACUAUAAUUCUGCCUAGCAAAUUUUGAAAGACUUUCCUGAACACACACACAUAUAAAUCAACUAUGGACAAACGUUAAUAAUUUAAGGUCUAUGUGUGCAACCUACUUUGUUAUUUUUAUGCAUGUUUCUCCCUGUUUUGGCCAUUAUUGAGGUCAGAUAUCACUGUUGGCUUUAGGAGUAACCUAGUUCUCUACUUUCCACUUUCUUCCUACUCUCAUAACAGUGUGACACAAUAUUAAGAAAGUAAUCUGUAACAUUCAUUGUAUGUUUGUUCAGCUCCCGGUACCUCCAUUUCUUGAUCAUCUUCUGAAGUAUUAGCUCCCAGUGGAACCAGUAUGACUGAGAGGAAGUUAAAAUAUUGUGACUGAUAUAUGUCAUGCUGUAUCUGGGCAGAUGACUGGACCAGUUUGCAUCAGAUUAAACUGAGACAGAUACCAUUGCUUUGGAUACAAAUCAAAUUUGAAAUAUCUUUUCUGUGGAAUGAUCAACGUUAACUUUGUUACAUAUGAAAAUAUCUGGGCUCAUGAGAACAACUGACAUAAUUGUUUUUGAACAUCUUCCACUUGCCUUUUUCAUUCCCUCGGUCACUGUUUGUGAAGAAGAUACAGUGAUCAAAGGGAACCAACAUAUUUUGGAAUUAAAUCAAAAUGUUUGUUAAUUUUUGCUGUUGGAGAGACUUCUUUUGAGAUAGAAUGUGAUGUAUUUAUAAAUACUUAAAAUCAUUAUUCCCAGCAGCAUUAUUGCAUGACCUUUUAACCAUCUUUUCACAGGAUAACUAUUCUCCAUAUUAUUAAUGAGUAACAAGAGUUGCAGUGAUUUUUAGCUGGCAAGAAAAUCUCUUCAGGAACCCAUCAUUUAUUUAGCUGUAUACAACCUUUUGACCCUUCUUCUGUCUUUAGAUCCCUAAUGGUACCGCUAGUAGUUCAAAAUUGAAACCCCUGUUAUAGAGGAAAUUCUGAUAAUUCAAAUGGAAACAAAAGAAUUACAAAAGCUUGUGAUAAAUGGUCACUGUUACAUAUGCACUGUAAUAAGGAACAAUUACAAAAAUCAGAAAAUUGAACAAAAAGUGUUCUAAAAGUCGCAUUAGUUCCUUAGUACUAAUGCAAUUGUAGCAUCGUCUGUAAUUUCUUACAUUCUCUUCUUCUGAUCAAAUUCUUAAGGCUACCUGCAAAUGAGAAUUCACAGGUAAUCAAUUUCAAUACUUUGUUUGUCUUUCUAAUGUUUUUCCUCCUGCAUGACCUGAAUCUCUUACUUUUUUGUAAAUUAUAUACCUUUUGUGGUGUAUAUAAUGGAGUAUCCAUUAAAAAGGAAAACAGAAAGCAAUAUAUUCUUUUUCACUUUUCAACAAUUUUUUUUUUUACGUAUCUGAGGACAGCUACCUCAAUAAAUUCAGUUCCUUCAGUCUUUCCUCCUUUACUAUGUUUUCUAGAUUACUAAUCAGAUGAUUUUUUUGUUUUCUUAUUUUUUCCCAGAUAACUCCAAUAAAUCUCUCUUUUGAAGUGUAGCAUUCCAGACUGUUCACAAUGCUGAAAAUAAACUAUGAGUGGGGUUUGAUUUGAUGAGUCAAUAUUUUUCCAACAACAAAUAACUGAAAGAAAAUUUAGGCUGGCUUUGAGUAAUUUGAGGAAUUCAACAGGUGAAAUGUAAAAAGGAAAGAAGAUACAGGAGUAAGUCCACUGAGAACCACCACAAAUAAAACUGAUCCCCAAAAAGGAGCAACUUGUUGACUCCGUGUGAUUUUUCUUUUUUGUUUGUUUGUUUUUGUUUUUGAGUUUACAAGAAUAGGGUUCAGAAGCUGAGUUGCUGAGCAGCACUAUAAAACCAUGAGAGAAAGGAAAGAUCCUUACUACAGUUCUCCCACAUCUCUUCUGAGCUUAUUCUCAUUUUGCAUCCCUCCUUUCCUAUGAAAGCAUCUUAAGUUUGGUGUGGAUCCAGAGGAGCGUCACAAAGGUGAUCAGAGGUUUGGAGCAUCUCUACUGUGAGGAAAGGUUGAGGGAAUUGCUCUUGUUCAGCCUGGAGAAGGCUCUGGAGAGACCCACUGCGGCCUUUGGAACUGGAUAAUCUUUCUGGUAGCUUCCAAGUCAAGCCAUUCUAUGAUUCUACGACUCUACGAAGUUCCUGUGAUUUACUGUUAUUUCCUGCCAUCCUCAGAACACAUUGAUUAAAUUCCCUAUUGUCUUAGAGUGGUACAAUGUAUUUAUGUGAAAGUAGUCUCCAGAAGCCCUAAGAGCAAUUAAGUUUCCUGAAUAUAAAGAGAAAAAUGGUACAAUGGUAUUAGCACUGAAGAAUUUACAAUAUCCAAAUCAUUGCUAUUUUCAACUGAGCUGAGGGAAUUUAAUAGCAGUGUUACAUCAGAUAAAACAUCCUCAAGGGGAAAAAAAAAAUAAAAAAGGCAUAAAGGACUUUGUGUUUUGAAGAGAUGUCCAUAUAAUUGAUUUUUCCUUUUAUUAGUCAGUUAGCUGAAUAUUUCCUCUAACCUCUGCUAAUGUUUUGUCUUGUUUUUUGUUGUUGUUGUGGUUGUUGUUUGUUUUUUUCUGUUUAUUGUUUUUAUUCUCUUUAAGAAGAAUAUUUCUGCAGAGUGUUUGUAGGCAAUAAAUGCAGUAGAGGAAAAGAGUAUUUGUAAGCUUGCAGACCACAAUAAAACACUAAGAAGCAACGAAGUGUAUCAUUAAAAACUGUGGCAAUGCUGAGUUCCUGCUCUAGUAAAAGGACUGUUCCCGAGUUUG
Molecule: long non-coding RNA, 3635 nt
Organism: Gallus gallus (chicken)
Lineage: Eukaryota; Metazoa; Chordata; Aves; Galliformes; Phasianidae
Source: Ensembl